UACGUAGGGGGCAAGCGUUAUCCGGAUUUAUUGGGCGUAAAGCGAGCGCAGGUGGUUUAUUAAGUCUGGUGUAAAAGGCAGUGGCUCAACCAUUGUAUGCAUUGGAAACUGGUAGACUUGAGUGCAGGAGAGGAGAGUGGAAUUCCAUGUGUAGCGGUGAAAUGCGUAGAUAUAUGGAGGAACACCAGUGGCGAAAGCGGCUCUCUGGUCUGUAACUGACGCUGAGGUUCGAAAGCGUGGGUAGCAAACAGG
RNAcentral lists this ribosomal RNA (252 nucleotides) under uncultured bacterium. RNAcentral's name for it is "partial 16S ribosomal RNA". It matches the Rfam family "Bacterial small subunit ribosomal RNA", at positions 524 to 776 of the family's 1533-position model. The record is from RNAcentral.